GAUUGCACUGCAAGGAGUUUCUUACUCUGAAGAUGGAGUAAUCAACAAUAUUCUGCAAAUGUCUACAGUAUUUCUGACAAGCCCUGCACACGGGGUAAGGAUGGUCUCUGCUCACCAGGAGGUGCUGCUGACUGGAUGAAAUUAAUUUCUGCAACUCAGCCACCAUCCAAUGAAGUCCUGCAGGACACACUGAAG
Oenanthe melanoleuca is the source of this 195-nucleotide long non-coding RNA. RefSeq lists it as uncharacterized. The transcript is spliced from 3 exons. The record is from RefSeq and is a predicted model, not a curated record. Lineage: Eukaryota; Metazoa; Chordata; Aves; Passeriformes; Muscicapidae.